GAAACGAUCGACCACUUGCUGUUGGGCUGUGUGCUAGCUCGGCAAGUGUGGACCAGCAUCACCAACGCUUGGGGCAAACCUACCUGGAUGUGAACGGUUGAUGCGAACUUGGUGCAAUGGUGGACUUCCCUUAGCCCGCAGAAUCUGUUAAGGAAGGAGACAUGGACCAUGGUGACGCUCGUUGCAUGGAUGAUAUGGAAGCACAAGAACGACAUCGUUUUCAAUGGUGCUUACCCACCAGCAGACAUCGUGCUUAGGAGGAUCGAGCUUGAGGGCCAAGAUUGGAGGGUUGCGGGUUUACUUAGGGAGCUAGGUUCUCUCCCAUGUGUGGUAGAUAGGUUGGAUAGUGGAGACUGA
RNAcentral lists this ribosomal RNA (357 nucleotides) under Triticum aestivum (bread wheat). RNAcentral's name for it is "partial small subunit ribosomal RNA". Lineage: Eukaryota; Viridiplantae; Streptophyta; Magnoliopsida; Poales; Poaceae. The record is from RNAcentral.